This 1635-nucleotide long non-coding RNA is filed under the name Gallus gallus (chicken). RNAcentral's name for it is "long non-coding RNA NONGGAT005253". Lineage: Eukaryota; Metazoa; Chordata; Aves; Galliformes; Phasianidae. The record is from RNAcentral.
UGCCCUCUCUGUCCCCUCUCUUCAGGUGCUUCUGAAAUACAGAUCUGAGAAGGCAAAGCUAGCAGGAAAGGAAGAGGGAUAAGGGCCAUGGGACAAGGAGGGACUGCACUCAGCACACUGUGAAGCCUCUGUGUCUGCACAGAAAUCACUGCAGAGCAUAUCCAAAAGGUCUCAUCUUAAGUACUGGCACUAAGUGUUCCCAGUUGCUAAUUGGAAAAUGAACUUUCUACUGGCUCCUAUAAAGGUGGGGAAAAGCAUAUUUGUGCAGGCUAGGUAGUUUUGUGCUGAGGGAUGAGCAGGCUGAAGUAUGUCCCCAUCUACACCCAAGUGAGCUUCUGAAACAAACGGUCUGUCUGAUGGGAAAAGUGCUCAAAUUCACCUUGAGCUCAUCUCAGAUGCCAUAACCCAAACGUUUCCUUUUAGGUAACCAUUAGAAGGUAUGUAUUUAUUAAAAUUCUGUCAAGCUAGGAUUAGUGAUGCAUUCUUCUCCUACAGAAGCAGGUGAUAUAGACUAACGGGCAAGAUGGCUUUGUCAUCUCCCUCCUGCUGAUAGGUAGCAUCUUACUUGGCACAAAUUAGGUUACUCUCUGUUGGCAUGAAUGUGCACGUUUGGCUGGAGCCAUGUUUCUUUGACAGUCUCUUUUGUAGCUGCCAAAAUUCAGCAAAUCCAAACCCAGCUCCACUUGCUGGACAGAUUAUUUCUGUCAGACAUGUUAAACCCAGUUUAACAUGCAGGCAAAAUGAAUAGUAGUGCUUAAUACUUUUACAGCUGCCUGUGUGCAACCUCACAUUAAUUUGUCUCUAAGGCCAAGCCCAAGGAAGCUGUACCAGUGGGAACAUCCAGAACCCAACGUGACCGCAGUCUGCAGAGAUGCUGCAGAGGAAGGAGGAUGCACAUGCGAGCAAAGGGAUUUCUUGCCUCCAUAACCAGCAAGAGAAUGUCAGCUUGUGCCAAUUCGAGCUAGAGACCAACGGACACAUGAGACCUGCACCAUUUCUUGUGGGAACACACAGCUGACUCCUUCCUGCCAUCUAGGAGUGGACAUGUCCUGCUUCUGAACAAAGGUUCUCGACAAAGGUGGAGACUGAGUGCCUUGCAUGUCACCUACCCUACCGGGCUGGGCUGGCCAGCAUGGCAGCAAAUUGCAUUUCUGCUCCAAGAGACGUAGAAGAUGAUUGCCAGGGAGACCUGCUCUCCACAGCCCUACAGCAAUUCCUCUGGAGGCCUCCUCUCCAAUCGGGGGAUCGUUUCAUAAGGGAUCGAUGGUGAUUGCCAAAACCUCUCUGCCCUGAAGCCAGCAAGGUAAGAAAGUUGACAGUGUUCCCUUUAUACGUGUAGAUACAUAUCAUCAGUCAGGGACCUUCAUGCGCAGGGAGGGGAGGGGCAUUCACUCUGAUGCUUCCCUUUGAAACAACAGAAACAGACAGACAGACAGACGAACAGCCAGGAAUAUUACAGAACAGUGGUGCAAACAGGCCCAGGGUAGCACACUUGGGUGCAUUCCUAAGCACACCUCAGUGCCAGGAGAGCACAGCCCUCCCAUACACACACACACACGCAACACACACACCCCACACUACCACUGAGACACUCCAUUUCAGCCAGUGUUGGAGGUCAGUCCUUCCUCUCGGUAC